CGGAAACGCGCGCCAUAUUGUUGUGACCGCGCCGCGACUGUGAACGCGUCUCUCAGUGUUAUUUGUUACGUGAUUACUGUCGCUCGUAUUGUUUUGUGAAUGGAAUAUAAGUGUUUAUAAACUGUUACCAAAGUGACCUACGAUGCAAUCAGGGAGUGGUACGAAAAAUCCACCAUGGGCUCGAUCCAACGUGAAUACAAACAUGACCGGCAUGAAUCCUCAAAUAAUGGAUCCUAACACCAUGAUGACUCAACAAGGGAUGAUGCCAUUUCAACAAACACAGGCGGUGUUUAAUCCUGGAAUGAUGCAAGCCCAAGGAGGAAUGGCUAUGCCCAUGGCCGGUCAGAUGCCGAUGAAUCAGAUGGCCCAAGGUCAAAUGUAUCCCGGUAAUGUCGUCGCGUAUCCUACUCCACGUGCGAUGAACCCUGGCAUGUAUCAAAACUCGCAGUCUAACUCGUCUCAACCAAACAGUGAACAGCGUGUGUUCACAGGAACUGUGACAAAGACACACAAUGACUUCGGCUUCGUCGACCAUGAUGUGUUUUAUCAGACGUCGGUCUGCGCUAAAGGUAUCAUUCCAAAAGUAAACGACAGAGUGUUGGUAGAAGCUACCUACAACCCUAACAUGCCUUUCAAAUGGAAUGCUACCCGUGUACAAGUUUUGCCCAAAGGAGGGCCCAAUCCAAAGGGUAACAAUCCAAAAUCUAAUUCAUAUAAUGCAGUGCCGCCACCUUCAAACAAAAAGCAGCCGCCACCACGCCGAAAUAAUGAUGAUCGGCCACCUAGAAGAGAAGAAAGAAAGCGAUCUCGCUCAAGAAGUCGUUCCCGAUCAAGGAUAAGCGGCCGUAACCGCAGAGAUUCUCCUCCUCGCAAGAGGCCUGUAGUUCACCAACCAUCGCCCGUCAAAUACAUCGUCAGAGUUCCUCGCAUACCUCUGGAUAUCCAAAAGAUGGAUGUACCUGGACUUUCUCAAAGAUACACCAAUUUGUACAUCCCUUCUGACUUCUUCAAUGCUCACGUCAAGUGGGGAGAAACGUUCCCUCCCCAAACACCAUUUUCAUUGAACAACCCUUGUGGAUACCACAUCAUGAGCAGAGAAAUUGAUAACCCCAACCCGAAUGACUCCGUGUUGGAGCCUCCAGAUGCAGAUUACAGGUUUUCAGCAAAGGUUAUGUUGAUUAGUAUGCCUACGUUAGAAUCCCUCUAUCAAAAGUGCGGAUUAACCAAAACUGAUGACAAAGAUAAGCGUCUUAGUAAAUCACCAUUACACCCAACAAGACUGAUCAAAUUUUUAGUUGGGCAAAAAGGAAAAGGUGGAGAAAACUUCGCAAUCGGAGGGCCAUGGAGUCCUUCCUUAGAUGGUGAAAACCCACAAACUGACCCAAAGGUUUUGGUGAAAACAGCUAUACGUACAUGUAAAGCCCUAACGGGUAUCGAUUUAUCCUCCUGUACCCAAUGGUACCGAAUGGUGGAGUUUUACUACUGGCGCGAGGGCAGCGGCGGCAAGUCGCGGCUCGAGUGUGUGGUGUUGUUCCUGCCAGACGUGUGGUCUGCGCAACCGUCGCGUAUCGAGUGGAGCAACGUUCAGGAGCAGUAUAAAGCUGCCUGCGACCACGCCUUAAGGAAACUCGACGGCGAGCCGGACUCCGGAGCGCAGCCCGACGCGCCCGCGGCGGCCACGGCGACGGCGGCGGACCCGGCGCCGGCGGAGAAAUCACAAAUUGAGACCUCUGAUCUCAACGAUAGCACGAUAACGAUUGAUGAGAAUGAUGAUGAGGAAGGAAAACCUGAGCCGACGCAUUAUUCAAAGAUUGAUAUCAGAACGAUCAAAGUAGACCAAUUGAGACAAGAAUUGCGGGCGCGAAAUACUAGCUGCAAAGGUUUGCGUGCACAGUUGGUGUCUCGAUUGUCGAAACUUUUGAAAGCUGAGGAAGACAAAGAGUCCAAAGGUGAAGAGGAAUCAAUGGAACUGGAUGAAGACAAUGAACAAGGCAAGGAAAAGAAAUCUGAUGAUGUAGAGGGAAAAGACGAGAAAGAGCCUGAAGUAACAGAACAGAAGAAUGAAGGUGACAAAGAUGAACAGAAAAAGGAUGAGGAAAAGCCAGAAGAAAAGCCAGAGGAGCCUAAAAAAGAGAAAACCGAAAAGGAAUUGGAAGAAGAAAAGAGAAAGUUGGAGAAAGAAAAGCAACAGAUGAAGACCCGCUAUGAACUCCCCACGAGUCCCCACAUCAUUGUGCAUCCCUCAAACUCGGCGAAGGGCGGCAAAUUCAACUGCAGUGUUGCCACUCUCUCCCUUUUGUUGGACUACAGGGUCACAGACAACAAAGAACACAGCUUUGAGCUGUUUGUGUUCGCCGAGUUAUUCAACGAGAUGCUGAUGCGCGAUUUCGGCUUCUACAUUUACAAAACACUAUACACUCUCCCUGAAAAACCGGAGGAGGUGAAAGAAGUGGUUGAGAAAACCGCCGAAAAGGGCGACAAGAAAGAUACAGAUAAGAAAGAUGAUAAGAAAGACGAUAAGGAAAAAGACAAGGCUGACAAACGGGAUGAGAGGCGCGAUUCCCGCCGACGUGGUGACAGGAGGGAGUCCCACAGCGAUGAUGAGCGCAGCAAUUCCCCGCGCCGACGCAGCAGAGGCGUGGAACUACCGGCCGACCCUUACCUACUGCUGUCUCUGGUCUACUUCGACACGUCACGAGGCGGCAACGUCUCAAAGAAAGACCUGCAGAACCUCUUCAUGGGCCUCGGACUCUCGCUGUCGAGGUCUCAGAUCAGGGCUGUGCUUGAGAAAGUGUGCAUCAAGGAUAACUUCAGCUACAAGACUCUGAUUCAAGCCAUCAAAGACCUAGCUUCAGGCACGCCAGAGGCGAUUCAAGACUUGCCGUUGGACACCACGGUUGCGACUACCGAAGUACCGCCUCAUAUUGCUGAAUUAGAAGCAACAAUUGCAACAGGAAACCGCAACUUAUUGCCUGUAUUCAACCGGCCGAGCGACGAAGAAGGACGCUCCGGUGAAACUCAAGAUGUUAGCGACACAGGAGUGGUGAUGUACAAGUCUCGCAUCGUGGACGUGGGGGCAUUAGUAGCGGCCGAGGCCCGCGGGUCGGCCACGCGCGCUCGCCUCGAGUCAGCUUUAGAAAGCGCCCGCGCCGCACUUAGGGCCGCACGCGCCGCCGCCGCCUCUACGCAGCAGGCGGAACGGGGAGCUAAGACGCAGCUGUCUGACCUGUCACAUAACCUGGCGGCUGCGCGCGCAAGGAUCGCGUCGCUCACGGUAACUAUUGCAGUCAUUUAUACACUUAUUUUUCAGUGCUGUGCGCAUCAAUGUUACCUUGCGCAUAGUACCUAUAACUCACGCGCGCUCACCUUGAGUCAGCGCUAGAGAGCGCUCGCGCCGCGCUUAGGGCCGCCCGCGCCGCCGCCGCCUCUACACAGCAGGCGGAACGGGGAGCUAAGACGCAGCUGUCUGACCUGUCACAUAACCUGGCGGCUGCGCGCGCAAGGAUUGCGUCGCUCACGGCGAGCUCCAAAAUAUUCCACUCCGCAUUGAAGAGUAUCCAGUCCAAAGUCGAAGCUGUGGUCAACAUCAAAUACGAAGACGAUGACGUCGUGGAAAUCGUUAACGGCCCCACAAAAUCGGAUGCAGAAACAAAGAAGGAGAAAGUUGAUGAUAAAUCCGACGCUUCAAAAAAAGAGGAAGACAAAAGUGAUUGUGAAGAGGUCACAGUGACAGAGGAAGAAAAAGAUAAAGAAGGUGACGACACCACUGCAACAGGCAUGGACCUUGAUGACAAAGAAUAAACUCUUGCAUCAAGAUAAACAACAAUUAGUUAUUCUUAUACUUAUAGCAUUCAGAAGAAGCAGGAGCUUCUGAUAAGGACACUAAAUUAAAGCUGUAAAUACAAACUUGACUCAGAAUACAAUUUAAUAUUUGAGAUGAUGAGUGCAGUGAAUCUUGUUCAUUAAGUAUAAGGUACUUAGAUUAUUUGCAUUUUUCAUUGAAUCAUUACAAUCAUUGUUUGAUAAAGUAUGGAGAACCAAGUGACAUGUUUUUGAUGGAGUCUUCAAUUAACUUAGAAGUUAUUUAUCCGAGAGGAUAACGCAAUAAUGAUCGAUUUAUUUUGGGGUUACAGGUGAUCCAUUGACACAAAUUUAUUGUGUCACCAUUAUUUUAAUUAUUGUAAGAGUCUGUAGCUUGUAAGUCUUAUGUU
Ostrinia furnacalis (Asian corn borer) is the source of this 4211-nucleotide RNA transcript. It is a transcript of the gene named cell division cycle and apoptosis regulator protein 1, with no coding region annotated. The transcript has 15 exons. Lineage: Eukaryota; Metazoa; Arthropoda; Insecta; Lepidoptera; Crambidae. The record is from RefSeq and is a predicted model, not a curated record.